Synchiropus splendidus (mandarinfish) is the source of this 575-nucleotide long non-coding RNA. RefSeq lists it as uncharacterized. The transcript has 2 exons. The record is from RefSeq and is a predicted model, not a curated record. NCBI's taxonomy places the organism in Eukaryota, Metazoa, Chordata, Actinopteri, Syngnathiformes, Callionymidae.
GUGACUCACGUCAACACCCAGGACCACCAAUCAGAUCCACCGUGUCGCAAUGAAAGAUUUGCACGACGGGGACGAGUACUAGCGUCGUGUGUGUUUUCACUUGACGAAGGACUGAAGUGUGCGCGCCAUCGGCCGCUGCCUGCGCGCUCAUCACCUGGAGUCCAGCGGCCAGAGUUCACAGACGCGCGGUGAGCCCGAGGCAAUGUGGCAACGACGUUACGCAAGGUUCGGUGAAAGGUGAAAACCAGCGGUUCGUUUUCUCGUUUGGAGCCGUCACACGCAUUCUGGAAAGGUUGCUGUACAUGUUUGGCUGGUCAACCUAUGGAGCAGGCUCGGCUCUCAGCUCCUGCCUGUCCAGCGACUGGGUGGAGGAGCAGCUCUGUAGGACCAUGAUGGGUGGGUUGGAGACAGUGGCUCUGACUCCCAGAGCAAGAGCUAGAAGCGGCCCCCAGCUGACUCAAGGACAUGACCUCAACAUGAGGACCAACGUCAAAAUUGCAACCCAUUCUGACCACAAAUCAACACGUUUCAUGGAUGCAACUUGUUUUUGUCACGUAUAAAUAUUCAACGUUGAA